This 1138-nucleotide ribosomal RNA is filed under the name uncultured organism. RNAcentral's name for it is "bacterial SSU rRNA". It matches the Rfam family "Bacterial small subunit ribosomal RNA", at positions 274 to 1429 of the family's 1533-position model. The record is from RNAcentral.
CGACGACGGAUAGCUGGUCUGAGAGGAUGACCAGUCACACUGGGACUGAGACACUGCCCAGACUCCUACGGGAGGCUGCAGUCGAGAAUCUUCCGCAAUGGGCGCAAGCCUGACGGAGCAAUGCUGCGUGCCGGAUGAAGGCCUUCGGGUCGUAAACGGCUGUCACUCGGGACGAAUUUUGACGGUACCGAGAGAGGAAGCCACGGCUAACUACGUGCCAGCAGCCGCGGUAAUACGUAGGUGGCGAGCGUUAUUCGGAAUUAUUGGGCCUAGAGGGUUCGUAGGGGGUAAUGUAAGUCCGGUGUGAAAUCUCGAGGCUCAACCUCGAAACUGCAUUGGAAACUGCGUUACUUGAGUGUCAGAGAGGAAAGCGGAAUUCCUGGUGUAGCGGUGGAAUGCGUAGAUAUCAGGAAGAACACCGACGGCGAAGGCAGCUUUCUGGCUGACAACUGACCCUGAUGAACGAAAGCUAGGGUGGCGAACAGGAUUAGAUACCCUGGUAGUCCUAGCUGUAAACGUUGUGCACUGGAUGUGGGCGGAUUUGGUCCCGUCUGUGUCUGAGCGAAGGCGUUAAGUGCACCGCCUGGGGACUACGGCCGCAAGGCUAAAACUCAAAGGAAUUGACGGGGGCCCGCACAAGCGGUGGAGCAUGUGGCUCAAUUCGAGGCAACGCGAAGAACCUUACCUGGGUUUGACAUAUACCUGACCGCCGGUGAGAGCCGGUUUCUCUUUGAGCAGGUAUACAGGUGCUGCAUGGCUGUCGACAGCUCGUGCUGUGAAGUGUUCGGUUAAGUCCGGCAACGAGCGCAACCCACGCUGUUAGUUACCAUCAGGUGAAGCUGGGGACUCUAACAGGACUGCCCGUGCUAAGCGGGAGGAAGGCGUGGACGACGUCAAGUCCGCAUGGCCCUUACGCCCAGGGCUGCACACGUGCUACAAUGGCCGGUACAGAGGGUCGCCACUCUGCGAAGAGGAGCUAAUCCCGAAAACCGGCCCCAAUUCGGAUUGGAGUCUGCAAUUCGACUCCAUGAAGUAGGAAUCGCUAGUAAAGGCGUAUCAGCAACGGCGCCUUGAAUCUGUUCCCGGGCCUUGUACACACCGCCCGUCACAUCAUGGAAGCCGGCUGCACCCGAAGUCG